ACUCUUAGAUCGAUGUGGUGCUCCGGAGUUCUCUUCGGGCCAGGGCCAAGCCGCGCCAGGCGAGGGACGGACAUUCAUGGCGAAUGGCGGCCGCUCUUCUCGUUCUGCCAGCGGGCCCUCGUCUCUCCACCCCAUCCGUCUGCCGG
Molecule: ribosomal RNA, 146 nt
Filed under: Mus musculus (house mouse)
Lineage: Eukaryota; Metazoa; Chordata; Mammalia; Rodentia; Muridae
Description: partial ribosomal RNA
Source: RNAcentral